GUUCUAUUUAUAUAGAUUAAUAGGGAAAUUGGUGAAAAUCCAAUGCGAUCCCGUCACUGUGAUAAAGGGUUGAUUUUUAUACCACUGGAUAUUUUAUCUGGGAAGGAAAAAUUGACAAUGCUUUUUAGCCAGGAUACCUGCUUUUAUAA
Molecule: non-coding RNA, 149 nt
Filed under: uncultured Intestinibacter sp.
Lineage: Bacteria; Bacillati; Bacillota; Clostridia; Peptostreptococcales; Peptostreptococcaceae
Source: RNAcentral